Molecule: long non-coding RNA, 783 nt
Organism: Mangifera indica (mango)
Lineage: Eukaryota; Viridiplantae; Streptophyta; Magnoliopsida; Sapindales; Anacardiaceae
Exons: 2
Source: RefSeq, a predicted model, not a curated record
UUCUUGUUUCUUGUUUCUGGUCUCUUGAGCAGCGGUCGAUCUCUCUCUCUCCCCUCUUGGUGAAAGAGUCCUGAAGCGAUGUUCACACUCUUAAGAGAUCCUCUUCUCCAUCGAGGCCGCAGCCCCAUAGGAACGUUCCCCUCCUCCUCCUCCUCCUCUCUCUAUCUCUUUCAACGCUUUUCUUUCUCUUUUCGCCCUUUUCCCUCAAAAAAUGGCGCCCCGUAAAAUUAUAAACAAUCCUUCUCAAUUUCCAGGUGUUUCCUCUCCGAAACUCUGGAUUAUUUUUAUGUGGGAAGUGUUAGUAAGCGUGAUUGGGAGCUUUAAAUUGAAAGUGCUAAUUUUAUUCAUUGAAGAAAAGACGGUAUAGAUUUCUAUUUUGAACUCUGGGAGGGAAAUUAGGGCACGGGCGUGGGCGUUUUGGGGAUGUGAAUUUCGAGCUGAAACGGUGGCGUUUUUGGGAAAUUUGAAGGAUUGUGAUGGCAUAUGUUUUUAAUGCGUAUUACUGAACUCGUAAGCUUGUUAAUAUAGGGGGAAAAGCUGUUUUGUGUUUAAGAUUUGUUGGGAAAUAUCAAUGUUGGGUUUAACGUACAGACAUUUUGUCACUAGUGGCUUCUGUACUAGUUUAUCUUGGGGUAGGUGUUCAAAUUCUUGUCUUCUGUGUUUGGAUCUUGGAUCAGUUAACAAUGUGAGAAGGGUUACAAUGAUUAGUUGCGUGCUGUAUUUUGCUACAGAGAUGUUUGUGUUACAAAUCCUAAUUAGUUGUUCCACCUUUCUCUUUUUUAA